RNAcentral lists this ribosomal RNA (392 nucleotides) under Allocoprococcus comes. RNAcentral's name for it is "bacterial SSU rRNA". It matches the Rfam family "Bacterial small subunit ribosomal RNA", at positions 848 to 1240 of the family's 1533-position model. Lineage: Bacteria; Bacillati; Bacillota; Clostridia; Lachnospirales; Lachnospiraceae. The record is from RNAcentral.
GCAGCAAACGCAAUAAGUAGUCCACNUGGGGAGUACGUUCGCAAGAAUGAAACUCAAAGGAAUUGANGGGGACCCGCACAAGCGGUGGAGCAUGUGGUUUAAUUCGAAGCAACGNGAAGAACUUUACCUGCUCUUGACAUCCCGGUGACCGGCNUGUAAUGAUGCNUUUUCUUCGGAACACCGGUGACAGGUGGUGCAUGGUUGUCGUCAGCUCGUGUCGUGAGAUGUUGGGUUAAGUCCCGCAACGAGCGCAACCCUUAUCUUCAGUAGCCAGCAAUUCGGAUGGGCACUAUGGAGAGACUGCCAGGGAUAACNUGGAGGAAGGUGGGGAUGACGUCAAAUCAUCAUGCCCCUUAUGAGCAGGGCUACACACGUGCUACAAGGGGGUAAAC